UUAGGAAUAAGAUGGCCGCCGAGGACAAGUAAAACAUUUCCGUUUUCAUGCAAAAGAUUCGAAGCUUUGAGUCUCCACAAAUUAUGUUAAAACUUUAAUUUACUCUAGAAUUCAGCUUUAAUUUGUAGAAAAGAGAACGGAAACGAACGAGUGUUUGCGAAUGAUGUGUACAUUCUACGAAUAGUAAAUUUCCAUGGAUUUCGAAGAUCAGUUAGUAGACCCAGCCCUCAAAGACAUAGACUAUCUUACAAAAAAUCUUGGUACUGCCCGUCCUUGUUUGAAAUCCGGUAGAGGCACAAUACGACACAUUUCUGCUGCUGGUAAGAAUGUCACUGCAAACUGGGAUGCUUCACUCGAUUGGCACAAAGACAAGACCAAUAAGAGAAAGAAGAAGAGAUUUUCAAAACUGAGGAACACAAUUGGAUCUUUCUUUUCUUGUGUCAGUAAAGUUGAAGAUGAAAAUAUUUGCACUGCUUGUACUCAAAGAAAGCAAGAGUUUCCGGUUCAAAAGGAUGAGUCUGCUGAAGCUUCACUGGAUGAAAAGUCUGUGCUAAGGGUUUAUAAAGAAUUUUCUGAUCGAACUCAGGCUUUGGAGGAGCCACCAACAAGAAGAAAAUUCCUCUCUGAGACAACAAAGAAUAAUGUCUUACUAGACUUCAAAGAUUUGUCUUAUCAUCAUGUUGAUCAAAGUCCUGAACAGAGAUGCCUAGAUCUUUCAGAACAGACCUUUAGAAAACUACAGAGUGCGGAUGCCCAAAAAAUGGAAAAUGUUUCUCAAGCUAGAGAAUGUGUAAACAAUGCAAAACUCUCUAGAAGAAGUGUUCUUGCUACUCGAAAUACGGCCAUUGGGAAACUUUUACAAGUAGAUUCUACAUCAGAACUGAUUAGCCAUUCUCAUUCUAAAAGAAAUCAUGUUGCAGGUAUUUCACAUUUUGUAUCUGAGGAAGUCCAGCCUAUCUUUGAUCAGUUUAGCAAGUUAAGAAAUAGUCCUAAGAUUUAUCCUUCUCUGUUAGGAAUGACACGAUCACGACAUAAAAGUUUAGAAAGAGGAGGAGUGAAACUGGGUAAGGAUUUUAGAUAUGCCCUUCAUAGAAAAGUCAACAGAAGUUGGGCUGUACGAGAUCUAGAAUACAUUCUGAUGAUGAUGCAUGUUGAGGAAUGGUUUUCACCACGUUUUGCUGCAGAGGCAGUCCGAGUAGACACCAUGAAUGAGUGCACAAGCCUGCAGCUACAAGGAUUCCAGCCACAAGAACUUGCUCGAGUAGGGUGGUAUUUUAAUGGUCGCACCUUGCUAACAUUUUGCUGUGGUAUGGAGAUGCCUCAGCAGCCGCGUGGACAGCCACUUGAUGUCCAUCGAGGGCUGUCUCCACAGUGCUCAUUUGCUUGUGGGGUUCAGUCCCCAACUGACAUUGAAAGGGAAAGGGCAGAGCAGAGGCAAGAGCAAUUGCAGGCUUGUGGCAGUCAAGCAGACAUUGGCUAUGGUUACCAGCCAGUUGAUGACCCUUAUGGUCUCCAUGCUCAGGAGUUUGAUGCAGCUUUGUUUGAUUUAAGCUUCAAUCAGAAUGUUGGUGUGCAACAAGAAACCUCCCCUGAUCAACACUGGAGGACAGAUGGAGAUGGAGCGAGUUACUCUUCACCAAUUCCUUCUGCUCAGGAGGGCAGGCUGUACAUGGAGAGUGUUGUCACCAACACCACACCUGCUGAUGCAGACAGACGGCAGCCAGUUGGUGCUACCUCCCGAGCAUCAGAAGCUGCUGCACGACCAGCAGAGCUGACUCGUGAUAUACCUCCAGCCAUUAAUAGUCCAUUUCUCAUGCCAGGGGGGCUUGCAGCAGAUCCUCAGAAUCAUGGUCUUCUAAGCCUGCUUAGGGGAUCCAUUCAGAAUCCAGAUCUAAUUAAUCCAGGCAUGUUUUUUGAUGAGUACCAAGGACGUGAAGGGAUUCAAAGACAUCCACGACAUCCCCAGUAUGCAUUUCCUAACCUAAGGCUGCUUACCUUUGAAGGCUGGCCUGCAACACACCAGCAGAAACCACAUGAUCUUGCAGAAGCAGGACUAUUUUAUGCUGGUUAUGGAGACUAUUGCUUGUGUUAUUUCUGUGGUAUUGGUCUGCGACACUGGGAGCCUAUGGACAAUCCAUGGAUUGAACAUGCUCGAUGGAAGCCUACUUGUGAGUUUGUGCUGGUGAAUCAAGGGCAAGAUUUUGCUCAAGCAGCCCGAGAGUUGACAAGUAACAAUAGACAUGAAGAUGAGCAGGGAAGUUGCAAUAAGUGGAGAAUGGGGAAGGAUGUGAGAAAGGACUAGCAUUGUGGGACCAGGAGUAACACUUAAGGGAGAAUUGUCCCUGAGAUGCUUAUCUGAACGUGGCAUGUCCAGCCUACACUUGAAGAGGUUACUCAAGCAGCACAGCAAAAACAGCGCCAGCGAGAAGAAGCUUUGCCUGUAUCAGCAUCAGGAGAGAGAGAAGAUACGGAUUCAGAUGAAGAAUCAGAACAAUACUUGUGUAAAGCAUGCGUCA
Molecule: unclassified non-coding RNA, 2516 nt
Filed under: Pomacea canaliculata
Lineage: Eukaryota; Metazoa; Mollusca; Gastropoda; Architaenioglossa; Ampullariidae
Description: uncharacterized LOC112553608, transcript variant X2
Source: RNAcentral